AAGUUCAAUUAGGUCGAGUUACGUCUAUCACGAAAAUGGUGAUUUGAUCAAAUAUGUGUCUAUAACGAGAUGGCGAUGCGAUCGAAUCGAACCGUGCCUAUCACUAAGAUAGUAUAUGGUUCGAAUAUUGUCUAUCACGAAGAUGACGAAUCAUUCCAGCAAUAUCUAUUAUGAAAAUGGCAAAUCAAAAUAAUACUCAUUCAUUUUAUUUUUAUUAUUAUUCUUGUUGUUGUUGUUGUUGUUUUAUCAUCAUAUUUUGUCGAAGUAUGGGGAGUUUGUUCAUGUCGAGCCUAUUGCGAAGAUGGCAGCUAAUCAACUCUUCGACCGUGUCGAGUCUAUUUCGAAGAUGAUCACUCGGUAUACGGAAUAGUAAAAUAGGUCGGUUUGAUCGUGUCGAGCCUAUUAUAAAGAUAGCCGCUCGAUCAACUUUCCGAUCUUGUCAAUUCUAUCACGAAAAUGACCGCUCGAUAUAAAAAUUAGUAAUACAUACGCACGACGAAAGUGACAAUUUGAUGCCAAAUUUGAUCGGUUCAUGCCUAUUACGAAGACGGUUAAGUUGAUCAAAACAACAAGAAAAAUUGCACUUACAUCAUUUGUAUGCAUGCAUUAUCCCUUGUUG
This 619-nucleotide long non-coding RNA is filed under the name Ananas comosus (pineapple). Its description in RNAcentral is "long non-coding RNA (ACOM_LNC038628)". Lineage: Eukaryota; Viridiplantae; Streptophyta; Magnoliopsida; Poales; Bromeliaceae. The record is from RNAcentral.